AAGCCCCGGAGCCCUUUAUGGGCUCGUCUUCAAAUUUGCAAUUUGACGUGAACUCACCACGAAGCU
This 66-nucleotide transfer RNA is filed under the name Stenocercus boettgeri. RNAcentral's name for it is "tRNA-Cys". RNAcentral also lists the same sequence under 1 other name. Lineage: Eukaryota; Metazoa; Chordata; Lepidosauria; Squamata; Tropiduridae. The record is from RNAcentral.